CCUACGGGAGGCAGCAGUGGGGAAUAUUGCACAAUGGGGGAAACCCUGAUGCAGCCAUGCCGCGUGUGUGAAGAAGGCCUUCGGGUUGUAAAGCACUCUCAGCGAGGAGGAAAGGUUGGUAGCUAAUAACUGCCAGCUGUGACGUUACUCGCAGAAGA
RNAcentral lists this ribosomal RNA (158 nucleotides) under uncultured Aeromonas sp. RNAcentral's name for it is "partial 16S ribosomal RNA". It matches the Rfam family "Bacterial small subunit ribosomal RNA", at positions 338 to 488 of the family's 1533-position model. Lineage: Bacteria; Pseudomonadati; Pseudomonadota; Gammaproteobacteria; Aeromonadales; Aeromonadaceae. The record is from RNAcentral.